This 253-nucleotide ribosomal RNA is filed under the name uncultured bacterium. RNAcentral describes it as "partial 16S ribosomal RNA". It matches the Rfam family "Bacterial small subunit ribosomal RNA", at positions 524 to 776 of the family's 1533-position model. The record is from RNAcentral.
UACGUAGGGUGCGAGCGUUAAUCGGAAUUACUGGGCGUAAAGUGUGCGCAGGCGGCCGCGCAAGUCGAGUGUGAAAGCCCCGGGCUUAACUUGGGAAUUGCGCUCGAAACUACGUGGCUGGAGUAUGGCAGAGGAAGGUGGAAUUCCACGUGUAGCGGUGAAAUGCGUAGAGAUGUGGAGGAACACCGAUGGCGAAGGCAGCCCCCUGGGCUAGCACUGACGCUCAGGCACGAAAGCGUGGGGAGCAAACAGG